AGAGUUUGAUCCUGGCUCAGAUUGAACGCUGGCGGCAUGCUUUACACAUGCAAGUCGAACGGCAGCGGGGGCUUCGGCCUGCCGGCGAGUGGCGAACGGGUGAGUAAUGCAUCGGAACGUGCCCAGUCAUGGGGGAUAACUACGCGAAAGCGUAGCUAAUACCGCAUACGCCCUGAGGGGGAAAGCGGGGGAUCGCAAGACCUCGCGUGAUUGGAGCGGCCGAUGUCGGAUUAGCUAGUUGGUGGGGUAAAGGCCUACCAAGGCGACGAUCCGUAGCGGGUCUGAGAGGAUGAUCGGCCACACUGGAACUGAGACACGGUCCAGACUCCUACGGGAGGCAGCAGUGGGGAAUAUUGCACAAUGGGCGGAAGCCUGAUCCAGCCAUGCCGCGUGAGUGAAGAAGGCCUUCGGGUUGUAAAGCUCUUUCAGACGGAAAGAAAUCGGGUGGGUGAAUAUCCUGCCUGGAUGACGGUACUGUCAGAAGAAGCACCGGCUAACUUCGUGCCAGCAGCCGCGGUAAUA
Molecule: ribosomal RNA, 522 nt
Filed under: uncultured bacterium
Lineage: Bacteria
Description: bacterial SSU rRNA
Rfam family: Bacterial small subunit ribosomal RNA
Source: RNAcentral